UCUAACUCAAUUGCACACAGCACUCUCCUGUCUUCAAACCCCCAGCAGUCUCCCCCAUUAUCUUCUGAAUUAACUCCCAUCUCUGGAGCCCAGCUUGAGAGGGCUUCCUCUAUCUGGUCUCCAGGGUGACAGCCGGUCAGACCCAGGGCAGACUCGGUGACUGUGCUGACGGAUGCAGCCUCAGGCCCUCAGGAAAGACAGGGCGUCAGCCUCUUCAGAGAGGGAGAUGCAGACAUCUGCUGAGCUGAAAGGAGGCAUGCAUGCCGCAGGAGUCGGAGAGGCCUUCAGUCCCAGAAGAUUCUCAUGUUGCUUACGAAGCUUACUCUUAAGAUCGCUAUAACCUUGAGAUGUGACUGCAGCGCCUUCUCAGUCUGCGUUCCCCUGGGGCUCACUCUGGGAGUUGUGGACAAGCCUAGAAUACCGUGCAGCCACUGCCAGAGCGUCACACAGAUUUGUUCACCGCCCCAGAGCCCCCUCGCCUCCCAUUCAUCUCUCCCCCUUCCCUAACCUCCUCUGGCCCUGCUCGCAGUGACUUUCUGAUGCUGAUGGCUCUACCCCGUGUCAUUCUCAAUGCACCUCAGUGCUUCUCCUCCCGGCCUGAGCAAGAAAGGGAGGCGUGGGGAGGACCCAGGAGUCCUGCGAGCCCCACUUGGUGGCCGCUGUCCUCAGCCGUUUGCUCUGCUGCUCACCCAGUUCCCCUCAGACAGGAGCUCAGCUCGAAACGAAGAGGCUCUGGAACUGUGUUGCAGCAGCAUGAAAGAGACUGAGCCAUCCUGCAGCUGUUCUCGCUACCCUCUGCCGCCAUACGCCUUUUCCUGUGAUGCUGACUCCCGUCCAGAUGAACAACAUGGUCCAGGAUACUUUGCCCUGGCUCCUGGCCUGCAUAGAGGUGCAGCUGGAGGAGAGUGAGGACAGGUACCUGUUUCUGUUCCCUCCCUGCAGCGAAUGGCUGCAUUCUCCUCCCAGACACUGCAGCCCUUAGCAAGCAGCCCAUCUUCUAACCUCUUCCAUGCCACCCUAAGGUGAGCUUGUGAUGCUGUGCCAAUGUUUGCCAAGCUCCCUCAGCCCUGCUCACACCUUAAUAAAUGGCCCUUCAUUCCAUAAGGGCCUCAGACAC
Cavia porcellus (domestic guinea pig) is the source of this 1117-nucleotide long non-coding RNA. RefSeq lists it as uncharacterized. Lineage: Eukaryota; Metazoa; Chordata; Mammalia; Rodentia; Caviidae. The transcript has 4 exons. The record is from RefSeq and is a predicted model, not a curated record.